Molecule: transfer RNA, 64 nt
Filed under: Cavia porcellus (domestic guinea pig)
Lineage: Eukaryota; Metazoa; Chordata; Mammalia; Rodentia; Caviidae
Rfam family: tRNA
About the family: Transfer RNA (tRNA) molecules are approximately 80 nucleotides in length. Their secondary structure includes four short double-helical elements and three loops (D, anti-codon, and T loops).
Source: Rfam by way of RNAcentral
GGGGAUUUAGCUCAGUGGCAUAAGCGCCUGCCUUGCAAGCAGGAAGUCGUGAGUUCGAUCCCCG